This 73-nucleotide transfer RNA is filed under the name Cordylochernes scorpioides. RNAcentral's name for it is "tRNA-Thr". The stretch from base 2 to 63 matches the Rfam family "tRNA", at positions 6 to 65 of the family's 71-position model. Rfam says of the family: Transfer RNA (tRNA) molecules are approximately 80 nucleotides in length. Their secondary structure includes four short double-helical elements and three loops (D, anti-codon, and T loops). The record is from RNAcentral. Lineage: Eukaryota; Metazoa; Arthropoda; Arachnida; Pseudoscorpiones; Chernetidae.
GGGUAGCCUAGUGGACAUGGCAUCUGCUCGGUAAGCGGAACACUGUGGGUUCGAUUCCCAACCAACUAACCCA